ACAAAGGCUAGAGCUGGUUGGGGGAGGCUCUCCAAGGGGGCAUAGAACAUCUACUUGAGUAGGAGGCAAAGUAAAACACCACUAAACAAUCAGAUACAACAGGGAGCACGUGGAAAUCUGUAUAAAGAUAGGAACCUGGAAACAAAAGCCAUUUUACAGAAAUGAAUUAAGUAUGACCUGGCUGGUGGCGAAGUGGCAUCAGCGUCGGACUUCGGGACGAAAGGUCCCGGGUUUGAAUCCAGCCAGCCGGCUCACAAGCUGGUGAUCUCUUUGGAAACUCACCCGGCAGAAGGCAAUGGCAAACGACUGCUGUAACUUGCCUCGUACGCGAAUCCCUACUACAUCAGAGAGGUGUGGAGGGAAAUCGUCCGCUAACCGGAGAAACUCCGGAUGCAAUGUACCUUUCCUUUCCUAUAUAAAACAAAGGUUCUGCAACAUCAAGGCUGACUUGCAUGCACUCUGAUUUUUAUGGGUUCUGAGGUGACUAAUAAAGCUGAUGUAAGUAAUGCAGACACCUGCCCACAAGGGAAUUUAAGAACUGGACUGGUACUUCUUUUCAAGGGAACUAUAAAUACUAAGAAAAAGAGUGGAUUAUUUCCAUCAUUCUGACAUAACUUUAGGAGGUGAUGGCGUUCAAGCACUGCUACAGCUUUCAAGCAUCUUUCUGUGCUUCACGUUUGGUCUGGAUUUGCAUCUUCACAUGCGAGAUGGCUUUCUGGAGGCCAUACUUGGAUCUUUUGUACUUUCCUGGGCCAUCGGACUUAGAUGCCUCCUAUCUAGCCCUCAGCAGAUUGUAAAUCUCUUGGUUCAUCUAAGGCUUCUGGUUCGGGAAGACUCUGAAGGACUUUGUGGUACACACUCAUCCAUGAGUGACUUUAUGAAAACCGUUACAGCCAUGGUGUGUUCAUUCAGAUCCUUUGAUGAGUCCCUGAGCAUGGCCCAGUCUACUGACUGGAAGCAAUCUCCUAGCCACUCCUCUGCCUCCCCUGACCACCUCUUUGUUGUCCUCACUUCUGGCACCUUCCCCUUUAGCGUCUGCCUGUAUGCUAUUAGGAGAAGGAUAGCCAAAUAAUCAGAUUUCCCAAGAUACAGUCUAGGGAACAUUCCCUAUCGAUUAUAGGGAAAAUAUAUGGGAAAAUCAGAUUACUCUGUGGAUCAAACUUGAAGGGUCAAAAUGGCCUCCCUCUAUGUCAUAAAAAUGUGAAAGAACAGCUAGCUCCCAAAAUUGCAAAGCCAUGCUGAACUCUGGCUCUGUCACUUAACAAUGGUUCUUUCAGGGAACCAGGGUUAAAGGUGAAAUAUUUAAGGGGAAACUGAGGGGGAAGUUUUCACUCAGAAGGUAGUAAGAGUAUGGAAUGAGCUGCCAGAUGGAUGUGGGUUCGAUUUCAGAACUUGGAUAAGUAGACGGGUGGGAGUGCUAUGUCCAGGUGCAGGUCGAUAGGGCUGGGCAGAUUAAACGUUGGACACAGACUCUUUCUAUGUUGUAGUGCUGUAUGACUCUAUAAUUCUAACCAUGUCACAACCUUUUCCAUUAGUAGCACUGAUGGCUUCUUUGGGUUCUUGCAGUGACAAAGUGCUGCUUAACCUUGCUGAAUUAACACCUUACAUUGUCCAGGUAGGGAUAAUUUCUUGCUUUCCAUUCCCUGACCACAUGAAAGCUAGAAAUAAAGCACUGAAAUAUUGAAUUUACAGAUUUUAAGGGUGUAAGGGGAGGGGAAUAAUUAAGAUAAUGGAAAGGGGAAAAACAAAACUGUUUGAUGAGAGCAGCCAAAGAUGAAUUUUAAGAGUCUGACAUAAUUAAAAAUAACAGGUUCGUAUAUGAAAAUGUUUUGAGAGACAAGUGCGGGGCUGGAUUUUUGGUAGGAUGACAGCCAUGAGACCUCAUUUCAGCUCAAAAUGAUUAUUACUUUCUGUUAUAUGCUGUAUUUGCAGAAGUGGGAGGUAAUAUUUAGCCCCAAGACUGUAAAUGCAAUAGAACUAUAAUUACUGUGACCAUCUAUUAUGGAACUUAUUGAGAUUUUAGUAAGUGAAAGAAUAAAGAAAUGCAGCAAUCUCCAAAAGUAGAAGGGAGAUUUCAUUUGUCAGAACUCAUCAAACCAACGGCAAUCUGGGAUGCAAUAAAUUGGUAAUAUGGGUAUUAAAUUUUUUAGAAUAUUCCGCUGCAUAAAAACAUAACCCAGUUAGCUUAAUUCUUAUAUUGCUGUAUGUUAAACCAUUGAACAGAAUGCUCCAUCUCUCUCCUUUAUCAACAUCUGUUCUUACACAUUUUAAAACAGGAUCAGCAAUGUUGUUCUGGUCACAGUAUUUCUGCUGGUCUGGAAAACAAGUGCUUUUGGCAUUUUCUGCAAACAGGAAGCAGCAAGUCAGUGGGCUCACCAAAUACGAAUGCCCUGCCACACACUGGAAAGAAGUCAUUUGUAAAAAAAAAUAAAUUACAUUAUGUAUUUUCUUUGACUGUUUCUUUUAAUUCCCUUUGUAAUGUUAUACUUUUUCCACAUAUCAUGGUGUAUCAUUUCAUGCUUUGAUUUGCACUUCUUAAAAACUGAAGUGUCACUUGGACAAUGUGCAGACAACUAUUUGGCUUGAGAAAACAUUAUGCUGUUUCUUUUCCAAAUCCCUUUUAUUUGAACAUUUUUUCCUCAAUACAAUCCAUCAUUCUUGUG
Mobula hypostoma (lesser devil ray) is the source of this 2663-nucleotide long non-coding RNA. RefSeq lists it as uncharacterized. The record is from RefSeq and is a predicted model, not a curated record. The transcript is spliced from 4 exons. NCBI's taxonomy places the organism in Eukaryota, Metazoa, Chordata, Chondrichthyes, Myliobatiformes, Myliobatidae.